AAGCAACAAGCCGACGUGCUUGGUCAACUCAACAGUGCUGAUGGUUUGAGAACCCGACUGGUAGAGAUAAUCUUGGACGAGCUAACUUACCACAGAAAAGUACUUCCCUCAUUUCUUCAGGUAUUUAAUGACCCUAAAUGGAAGCUUGAAAUCAUCGUGCAGUAUUUAUUAAAAUACACUAAGCUGUCUGUUCGCACUCGUAGAUCAAAUGGUCCUUCGGA
Hibiscus syriacus is the source of this 221-nucleotide long non-coding RNA. RefSeq lists it as uncharacterized. NCBI's taxonomy places the organism in Eukaryota, Viridiplantae, Streptophyta, Magnoliopsida, Malvales, Malvaceae. The transcript is spliced from 4 exons. The record is from RefSeq and is a predicted model, not a curated record.